RNAcentral lists this ribosomal RNA (440 nucleotides) under uncultured bacterium. RNAcentral's name for it is "partial 16S ribosomal RNA". It matches the Rfam family "Bacterial small subunit ribosomal RNA", at positions 338 to 795 of the family's 1533-position model. The record is from RNAcentral.
CCUACGGGGGGCAGCAGUGGGGAAUAUUGCACAAUGGGGGGAACCCUGAUGCAGCAACGCCGCGUGGGUGAAGAAGUACUUCGGUAUGUAAAGCCCUGUCAGCAGGGAAGAAAAUGACGGUACCUGACUAAGAAGCCCCGGCUAACUACGUGCCAGCAGCCGCGGUAAUACGUAGGGGGCAAGCGUUAUCCGGAUUUACUGGGUGUAAAGGGAGCGUAGACGGCAAGGCAAGUCUGGAGUGAAAGCCCGGGGCUCAACCACGGGACUGCUUUGGAAACUGUGUUGCUGGAGUGCAGGAGGGGUAAGCGGAAUGCCUAGUGUAGCGGUGAAAUGCGUAGAUAUUAGGAGGAACACCGGUGGCGAAGGCGGCUUACUGGACUGUAACUGACGUUGAGGCUCGAAGGCGUGGGGAGCAAACAGGAUUAGAUACCCUAGUAGUC